UGGGGAAUAUUGCACAAUGGGGGAAACCCUGACGCAGCGACGCCGCGUGAGCGAAGAAGGCUUUCGAGUCGUAAAGCCCUGUCCUAUGAGAAGAUAAUGACGGUAUCAUAGGAGGAAGCCCUGGCUAAAUACGUGCCAGCAGCCGCGGUAAUACGUAUGGGGCGAGCGUUGUCCGGAAUUAUUGGGCGUAAAGGGUACGUAGGCGGUUUUUUAAGUCAGGUGUCAAAGCGUGGAGCUUAACUCCAUUAAGCACUUGAAAUUGAAAGACUUGAGUGAAGGAGAGGAAAGUGGAAUUCCUAGUGUAGCGGUGAAAUGCGUAGAUAUUAGGAGGGAUACCGGUGGCGAAGGCGACUUUCUGGGCUUUUACUGACGCUCAGGUACGAAAGCGUGGGGAGCAAACAGG
RNAcentral lists this ribosomal RNA (403 nucleotides) under Verrucomicrobiota bacterium. RNAcentral's name for it is "Verrucomicrobia bacterium partial 16S ribosomal RNA". It matches the Rfam family "Bacterial small subunit ribosomal RNA", at positions 355 to 776 of the family's 1533-position model. Lineage: Bacteria; Pseudomonadati; Verrucomicrobiota. The record is from RNAcentral.